Molecule: ribosomal RNA, 484 nt
Filed under: uncultured bacterium
Lineage: Bacteria
Description: partial 16S ribosomal RNA
Rfam family: Bacterial small subunit ribosomal RNA
Source: RNAcentral
AUUGAACGCUGGCGGCAGGCCUAACACAUGCAAGUCGAGCGGAUGAAGGGAGCUUGCUCCUGGAUUCAGCGGCGGACGGGUGAGUAAUGCCUAGGAAUCUGCCUGGUAGUGGGGGAUAACGUCCGGAAACGGGCGCUAAUACCGCAUACGUCCUGAGGGAGAAAGUGGGGGAUCUUCGGACCUCACGCUAUCAGAUGAGCCUAGGUCGGAUUAGCUAGUUGGUGGGGUAAAGGCCUACCAAGGCGACGAUCCGUAACUGGUCUGAGAGGAUGAUCAGUCACACUGGAACUGAGACACGGUCCAGACUCCUACGGGAGGCAGCAGUGGGGAAUAUUGGACAAUGGGCGAAAGCCUGAUCCAGCCAUGCCGCGUGUGUGAAGAAGGUCUUCGGAUUGUAAAGCACUUUAAGUUGAGAGGAAGGGCAGUAAGUUAAUACCUUGCUGUUUUGACGUUACCAGCAGAAUAAGCACCGGCUAACUUCGUG